AGAGUUUGAUCCUGGCUCAGAACGAACGCUGGCGGCAUGCUUAACACAUGCAAGUCGAACGCAUGGUUUCGGCCAUGAGUGGCGCACGGGUGAGUAGCGCGUGGGAACCUGCCCAGUCGUGGGGGAUAACCGAGGGAAACUUCGGCUAAUACCGCAUACGCCGGCCUGCUUGAGAGAGUUGGCCGGGAAAGAUUUAUCGCGAUUGGAGGGGCCCGCGUCGGAUUAGCUUGUUGGUGGGGUAACGGCCUACCAAGGCUAUGAUCCGUAGCUGGUCUGAGAGGAUGAUCAGCCACACUGGGACUGAGACACGGCCCAGACUCCUACGGGAGGCAGCAGUGGGGAAUAUUGGACAAUGGGGGCAACCCUGAUCCAGCAAUGCCGCGUGAGUGAGGAAGGCCUUCGGGUUGUAAAGCUCUUUCGCGCGCGACGAUGAUGACGGUAGCGCGAGAAGAAGCCCCGGCUAACUUCGUGCCAGCAGCCGCGGUAAUACGAAGGGGGCGAGCGUUGUUCGGAUUUACUGGGCGUAAAGGGCGCGCAGGCGGCGAGUUUUGUCAGGCGUGAAAGCCCCGGGCUCAACCUGGGAACUGCGCUUGAAACGGGCUUGCUGGAGACCGGGAGAGGAGAGUGGAAUUCCCAGUGUAGAGGUGAAAUUCGUAGAUAUUGGGAAGAACACCGGUGGCGAAGGCGGCUCUCUGGACCGGAUCUGACGCUGAGGCGCGAAAGCGUGGGGAGCAAACAGGAUUAGAUACCCCGGUAGUCC
This 760-nucleotide ribosomal RNA is filed under the name uncultured bacterium. RNAcentral's name for it is "bacterial SSU rRNA". It matches the Rfam family "Bacterial small subunit ribosomal RNA", at positions 8 to 796 of the family's 1533-position model. The record is from RNAcentral.